This 460-nucleotide small RNA is filed under the name Pongo abelii (Sumatran orangutan). Its description in RNAcentral is "processed transcript". Lineage: Eukaryota; Metazoa; Chordata; Mammalia; Primates; Hominidae. The record is from RNAcentral.
UGAUGGGAGGGCAGAGGCAUGAGGGGUGCUAAGGGACUAAACGCCAUGGCCACCGGAGCUCUGGCCAAGGCCCCAGGAGUCAAGAAGCGCACAGAGGGCAUGGAUGUGCUGGAAAGGGGAGGUGCUGGCCUUUUAAAGAUCAUAUGGCUUGGACAAGGAACAUGCUGCUUUAAAUAAUUUCUAUUAAUAGCCUUUUCUGAACAAUCACAGACAAAGUCUUCUGAAUAAUCAUACUGAGAACUUAAACUUCCACAGGAGCACUGAGAUCUGCUAUAAUCAACACUCUUAUUGGAAGCAUUACUGUUCCGUGAAAAAUCGCCUGUGCCUGGGCUUCUCUUGCAUUCUGCAGACCUCCUAUUGUUUUCUAAUGCCACGCUGGAGAAAUGCUCAUCUAUAUGUGUUUUUGUUAGAUCAGCCAAAGACAUAGCAAACAACCUAAUAAAAGAAAAGUAAAACCUAA